UGUACGUUAGGACAAUCAAUAUGCCAGUCGGGUAAGGAGAGAAAACUCCUGAAAAUAUUGGUCAAUUCAGGCACACGAUGGAAUUCAUUUACCUCCAGGUAAUACGGGAGGGAGACGUAAAGGCUACCAUUCCUGGCGAAGAUUUGAUAAGAAUCAGUAGCGGAUAUCGUUGAAAAAGGGAUAUCGAUGUCCCACUAAAUCACCGCGCUGAGCCUUGCCUUUGGGAUGCAUUUAAAGUAAUCGUGUAAUGAUAUUAUGAUUCCCUCAUCAUGUCUUUAUUUUUGAGAAAUAAUUAUAUCAGAGAUUUAUAACAAAAAAAAGGCGCGUUUUAAGCUCUCGUUUCCUCUGGCUAAUUUAUUGCAGCGGAGAGAGCGCCUGGAUAAGGUCCUCGCCCCUUCACUCGCUUUUCCGUAAUGUAGGAAUUCAUCGCGGCCAAUUACAUAUAAACUUGGGACAAUUUGUCAGCUUGAUUUGUAUUUCAGUUAAUUGUGAAAGUAAUUAGGAAUACAAGAGCCGGAAAAGGGACCCGGGUUGAUUUUUUUUUCUGUCUCUCUGCUCUCUCCCUCUUCUCCUUUAAGCCAAAUUGCACAGAAAUUAAUUUUCUGCUAGCCUUUUCAUCUGGGCCAGCCGCAGAAUCACAAGCGAUAAAUCAGCCUGAUGGGUGGUGGCGGCGGCGGCGCUAAAUGGCUUCAUAUAUCACUGCGUUUAAUAGGAAUCAUCAGAGGCUGGUUAAUGAAAUUAAACUGAACAGAAGGUGUUAGCCCCCCUUGAAGGCCGGGAGAUUUUUUAUAUGUGAAAGAGACAGCAGAAGCUGAAGGAAAACUGUGCAAAAAAAAACCCCAAAAGAUGCGCCAUAUAUUUUCAGAACUGCUGCGUCUUCCAAUCUCUUUAUUCUGAUAGUGCUCUCUCUCUCUCUCUAUCUCUCAGUCUGGGCUUUCACCUUUUCGUUCACUGUCUGGUCCUCAAAUCCAAUCCUUUAAUGUUGGGGACCUGUUGCACACAUUAUGAAAAAUGUAAAGAAGGGGUAAAAGAUCUAUAUCUCCCCAGCUAGCUAUUUACAUGUCUUUUAAUACCACAAUAAAGCCAGGGAAUGUGUAUCCAA
This is a non-coding RNA of Chiloscyllium plagiosum (whitespotted bambooshark), 1102 nucleotides long. The record is from RefSeq and is a predicted model, not a curated record. NCBI's taxonomy places the organism in Eukaryota, Metazoa, Chordata, Chondrichthyes, Orectolobiformes, Hemiscylliidae.